Spinacia oleracea (spinach) is the source of this 795-nucleotide long non-coding RNA. RefSeq lists it as uncharacterized. The transcript has 4 exons. Lineage: Eukaryota; Viridiplantae; Streptophyta; Magnoliopsida; Caryophyllales; Amaranthaceae. The record is from RefSeq and is a predicted model, not a curated record.
AAAACCAUUUUCUAGAAAUGUUAUUGGGGAGACCACCUUAAUGGCUUCCUCUCACUCCUCUACCUGUCUCCCCGAUUCACCUCCCUUCUCUUCCCCUCCAAUUCAAUUUUCUCUCUCCUCCGUGUUGCCGCGCCAUAACGGCUGCUUCAUCGCCUCCCCUUCUGGCUGGUCGCUGCUGAUGGGGUUCUUUUUGUUGUUGUUGUUGUUGUUGCGCUAUUGUUGUUGGUGUUCCUUCGCUCUCUCUCUCUCACGUUCUCGCUCCCAGUACCGCCGACGAUGGUGGUCUCGAAUUUCCGUCUUCGACAACCCACCACUCAAUUAGGGUUAAAAGGAUUCUGAGCCUCAACAUGCUGCAGGAGUUUAGGUUCAUGUACAAGCUGGAUUGGGGAUCAGAAUUGUAACUCUUAGCAAGUCUAGGAUGGACCGUCGAAGUUGGCCAUGGAAGGAAAAGUCAAGUCGGCUGUAGAGAAGGUGCCACCCUAGAUUAUCCAGGGUCGUGCUAGCUUCUUGUGGAUCUCAGUUAUAUAAGAUGCAGAAAACUCCUUUAUGUUAAGGCAUGAAGCCGAUCACCAAAUUGGAAGCGGAUGAAGAAAAUAACAUUUUAUAAUUGGAUUUAUAGUUCUAAAGGAGAACUUUUUUUCCCUGCCGUAUUUGGUUUUAAUAGUUAGUCAUGUACUUAUUUUGAUGCUAAUAUAUGUAGUUCGCCAGUGACAUUUUCCAAGGUAUCAAACCACUGAUUAUGUAAUGACUUUAUUUAUUUAUUAAUUCAGAUAUUUUUAUUUUGGAGCUAAUAAA